AGAGUUUGAUCCUGGCUCAGGACGAACGCUGGCGGCGUGCUUAACACAUGCAAGUCGAACGAUGAACCACUUCGGUGGGGAUUAGUGGCGAACGGGUGAGUAACACGUGGGCAAUCUGCCCUGCACUCUGGGACAAGCCCUGGAAACGGGGUCUAAUACCGGAUACUGAUCCUUGCGGGCAUCUGCGAGGUUCGAAAGCUCCGGCGGUGCAGGAUGAGCCCGCGGCCUAUCAGCUUGUUGGUGAGGUAAUGGCUCACCAAGGCGACGGCGGGUAGCCGGCCUGAGAGGGCGACCGGCCACACUGGGACUGAGACACGGCCCAGACUCCUACGGGAGGCAGCAGUGGGGAAUAUUGCACAAUGGGCGAAAGCCUGAUGCAGCGACGCCGCGUGAGGGAUGACGGCCUUCGGGUUGUAAACCUCUUUCAGCAGGGAAGAAGCGAAAGUGACGGUACCUGCAGAAGAAGCGCCGGCUAACUACGUGCCAGCAGCCGCGGUAAUACGUAGGGCGCAAGCGUUGUCCGGAAUUAUUGGGCGUAAAGAGCUCGUAGGCGGCUUGUCACGUCGGUUGUGAAAGCCCGGGGCUUAACCCCGGGUCUGCAGUCGAUACGGGCAGGCUAGAGUUCGGUAGGGGAGAUCGGAAUUCCUGGUGUAGCGGUGAAAUGCGCAGAUAUCAGGAGGAACACCGGUGGCGAAGGCGGAUCUCUGGGCCGAUACUGACGCUG
This 724-nucleotide ribosomal RNA is filed under the name uncultured bacterium. RNAcentral describes it as "bacterial SSU rRNA". It matches the Rfam family "Bacterial small subunit ribosomal RNA", at positions 8 to 748 of the family's 1533-position model. The record is from RNAcentral.